GCCAGACUCCUACGGGAGGCAGCAGUGGGGAAUAUUGGGCAAUGGGCGCAAGCCUGACCCAGCAACGCCGCGUGAAGGAAGAAGGCUUUCGGGUUGUAAACUUCUUUUGACAGGGAAGAGCAGAAGACGGUACCUGUCGAAUAAGCCACGGCUAACUACGUGCCAGCAGCCGCGGUAAUACGUAUGGUGCAAGCGUUAUCCGGAUUUACUGGGUGUAAAGGGAGCGCAGGCGGCACGGCAAGCCUGAUGUGAAAGCCCGCGGCCCAACCGCGGGACUGCAUUGGGAGCUACCGGGCUGGAGUGCCGGAGAGGUAGGCGGAAUUCCUAGUGUAGCGGUGAAAUGCGUAGAUAUUAGGAGGAACACCAGUGGCGAAGGCGGUCUGCUGGACAGCAACUGACGGUGAGGCGCGAAAGCGUGGGGAGCAAACAGGAUUAGAUACCCGCGUAAA
RNAcentral lists this ribosomal RNA (449 nucleotides) under uncultured bacterium. Its description in RNAcentral is "bacterial SSU rRNA". It matches the Rfam family "Bacterial small subunit ribosomal RNA", at positions 330 to 794 of the family's 1533-position model. The record is from RNAcentral.